CAGAGGUGGCAAGCGUUGUUCGGAAUUACUGGGCGUAAAGGGCGCGUAGGCGGCCCGCUAAGUCGAACGUGAAAUCCCCGAGCUCAACUCGGGAACUGCGUCCGAUACUGGCGGGCUUGAAUCCGGGAGAGGGAUGCGGAAUUCCAGGUGUAGCGGUGAAAUGCGUAGAUAUCUGGAGGAACACCGGUGGCGAAGGCGGCAUCCUGGACCGGCAUUGACGCUGAGGCGCGAAAGCUAGGGGAGCAAACGGGAUUAGAUACCCCGGUAGUCCUAGCCCUAAACGAUGAAUGCUUGGUGUGGCGGGUAUCGAUCCCUGCCGUGCCGAAGCUAACGCAUUAAGCAUUCCGCCUGGGGAGUACGGUCGCAAGGCUG
RNAcentral lists this ribosomal RNA (372 nucleotides) under uncultured organism. Its description in RNAcentral is "bacterial SSU rRNA". It matches the Rfam family "Bacterial small subunit ribosomal RNA", at positions 526 to 896 of the family's 1533-position model. The record is from RNAcentral.